GCUCGCAGUGCAGCUUGCAUGCCUGCAGGUCGACGAUUUUCCGGUUGAUCCCGCCGGAGGCCACUGCUAUUGGGGUUCGGCUAAGCCAUGCGAGCGGAGGGCGCGGUCGCAAGAUCGUGGCCCCACACACGGCUCAGUAACACGUAGUCAAUCUACCCUCGAGUCUGGGACAACCUCGGGAAACUGAGGACAAUCCCGGAUAGGCGAUGGACGCUGGAAUGCCUCAUCGCCCAAAGCUCCGGCGCUCGAGGAUGAGACUGCGGCCUAUCAGGCUGUUGGUGGUGUAACGGACCACCAAACCUACGACGGGUAUGGGCAAUGAGAGUUGGAGCCCAGAGAUGGGGACUGAGACAAGGCCCCAGGCCCUACGGGGCGCAGCAGGCGCGAAAACUCCGCAAUGCGCGAAAGCGUGACGGGGGAACCCCAAGUGCCGUUGGUCUUUUGAUCGACGGCUUUUAGGAAGUCUAAGAAGCUUCCGGAAUAAGGGCUGGGCAAGUCUGGUGCCAGCCGCCGCGGUAAUACCAGCAGCCCAAGUGGUGGUCACGUUUAUUGGGCCUAAAGCGCUCGUAGCCGGGUCUGUAAGUCCCUUGUGAAAUCGGACGGCUCAACCGUUCGGCUUGCAAGGGAGACUGCUAGCCUUGGAACCGGGAGAGGUCGGGGGUACUUCGGGGGUAGCGGUGAAAUGCUGUAAUCCCUGGGGGACCACCAGUGGCGAAGGCGCCCGACCAGAACGGAUUCGACGGUGAGGGGCGAAGGCUGGGGGAGCGAACGGGAUUAGAUACCCCGGUAGUCCCAGCUGUAAAGGAUGCGGGCUGGGUGUCAGGUGCCCUUUGAGAGCACUUGGUGCCGUAGGGAAGCCGUUAAGCCCGCCGCCUGGGAAGUACGGUCGCAAGGCUGAAACUUAAAGAAAUUGGCGGGGGAGCACCACAAGGGGU
Molecule: ribosomal RNA, 935 nt
Filed under: uncultured archaeon
Lineage: Archaea
Description: bacterial SSU rRNA
Rfam family: Archaeal small subunit ribosomal RNA
Source: RNAcentral